RNAcentral lists this ribosomal RNA (424 nucleotides) under Verrucomicrobiota bacterium. RNAcentral describes it as "Verrucomicrobia bacterium partial 16S ribosomal RNA". It matches the Rfam family "Bacterial small subunit ribosomal RNA", at positions 355 to 776 of the family's 1533-position model. The record is from RNAcentral. Lineage: Bacteria; Pseudomonadati; Verrucomicrobiota.
UGAGGAAUAUUGGUCAAUGGGCGAGAGCCUGAACCAGCCAAGUAGCGUGCAGGAAGACGGCCCUAUGGGUUGUAAACUGCUUUUAUGUGGGGAUAAAGUGCGUGACGUGUCAUGCAUUGCAGGUACCAUACGAAUAAGGACCGGCUAAUUCCGUGCCAGCAGCCGCGGUAAUACGGAAGGUCCAGUCGUUAUCCGGAUUUAUUGGGUUUAAAGGGAGCGUAGGCUGUUUGUUAAGCGUGUUGUGAAAUGUAAGAGCUCAACUUUUAGAUUGCAGCGCGAACUGGCAGACUUGAGUGCGCACAACGUAGGCGGAAUUCAUGGUGUAGCGGUGAAAUGCUUAGAUAUCAUGACGAACUCCGAUUGCGAAGGCAGCUUACGGGAGCGCAACUGACGCUAAAGCUCGAAGGUGCGGGUAUCGAACAGG